Molecule: long non-coding RNA, 700 nt
Filed under: Numida meleagris (helmeted guineafowl)
Lineage: Eukaryota; Metazoa; Chordata; Aves; Galliformes; Numididae
Description: lncRNA (ENSNMEG00000005753.1)
Source: RNAcentral
CAGAAAGCAGGCACUAAAGGGAGUUUUCCUCAAGAAGACUUUAGAAGCAUUACUGCUAUGGUUGACAUAAUGCCUCGAAGACAAGUUCCUCUCUUGCUCUGCAGCUACUAAUUUCCAACAAAGCACCAGACUAUCUCAGCACAGACGCUUGCUUGCACUGCUGGCUAUUGCCCGCACCACAAAAUAACAUUGCUUACAAUCAGACAGAGAUUGGGUUGUGGCUGGCUGCGUGCUGGGAGGAAGGAGUUACGCUAAUUUGCUCAGUGCCAUCCUAUGCAAACCCAGCUGCUAUCACCCCUGCCCGCUGCCUUCUCCCAGGGGACACCGGUUGCAAUUCCUUACAACAACCAGAGCUGGGUGCCUGUACUUGGAAGAAGAGAUGUGGACCCUAUGGCAACAGAAUCCCUAUAAUGAAGCCACAAAGAAGGUCACUGUGACCCCAGAGCGCUUCAGAGGAGAUCCAGCCCUUGGAAGCACGAGGGGCCGUGUUUGUGAAGGACUGAUUUGGCAACAGCCAGACAACACCUCCGCACCCCCAGCCUUACAGCCCUACUCUGCAGUGUCAGGGACUGAAGUCCCAGCUCCUUAAUCCCACCAGCACCAACACAAGGCGAAGACAUGUUAAAACCUCAGCAACAGGCUUGCCACAUGAAUUACAGAGUAAUGCUGGAAAUGCAUCCCUUCUUUACCCUACGCAGAA